ACUCCUGCGGGAGGCAGCAGUGGGGAAUAUUGGACAAUGGGCGCAAGCCUGAUCCAGCCAUGCCGCGUGAGUGAUGAAGGCCCUAGGGUUGUAAAGCUCUUUCACCGGAGAAGAUAAUGACGGUAUCCGGAGAAGAAGCCCCGGCUGACUUCGUGCCAGCAGCCGCGGUAAUACGAAGGGGGCUAGCGUUGUUCGGAAUUACUGGGCGUAAAGCGCACGUAGGCGGAUCGAUCAGUCAGGGGUGAAAUCCCAGGGCUCAACCCUGGAACUGCCUUUGAUACUGUCGAUCUGGAGUAUGGAAGAGGUGAGUGGAAUUCCGAGUGUAGAGGUGAAAUUCGUAGAUAUUCGGAGGAACACCAGUGGCGAAGGCGGCUCACUGGUCCAUUACUGACGCUGAGGUGCGAAAGCGUGGGGAGCAAACAGGAUUAGAUACCCGAGUAGUCCCAUGAU
Molecule: ribosomal RNA, 450 nt
Filed under: uncultured organism
Description: partial 16S ribosomal RNA
Rfam family: Bacterial small subunit ribosomal RNA
Source: RNAcentral